RNAcentral lists this long non-coding RNA (3002 nucleotides) under Mus musculus (house mouse). RNAcentral's name for it is "RIKEN cDNA E330035G20 gene". Lineage: Eukaryota; Metazoa; Chordata; Mammalia; Rodentia; Muridae. The record is from RNAcentral.
AGUGUGUAACAUUGUAACAUUGAAGAGUAGUUUCUUGUCCCGGGAGGUCCUGCUGGGCAGUGCUGGGGCCAGGCCUGGGUUUCACUCUCCCUUGAAGGUUGUGAUGAUCCAGUCUGCUGGCAGAAAAGCUCCAACAUGCUGGGCAGGCAGGGCUUCCAGAAGCUGCGUGCUGGCUACACUCUAGGCUGCGACACUCCUGAUAAUCCCAAAGCUACUGGAUGAGAGGGAGUUUCACACGGCCUGUCAAAUCCACGGGAGAUUGGAUUGCCACCUGAUUGGGAUUCCGCUGUGUGGACAGAUCGCUGUGGAAGACUGUGGUGGUUCACAGCCUUUCCUCACAGAAGAACCGGGCAUCUCUGUCUCCACUUGCUCAGAUCUUCUUUUAUGCCGCAGUAGAGUUUACAGCCAUCCACAGCAUGGGUUCUGUCUGCGUGUCUGUUGGAUUUAUUUUCCUUAGGGGGCUUCAGCUUCUCUGGCCACUGUCAACAGGCAGCUGCUUUUACAUGGUAGAUUUGUAGGCCUGCCCUGCCCUGACUGCAUCAGUAAGCUCUCUUGAGUUUUCCUUGCUCCCCACACCCUCUGGUUCUCUAGACCUCAUUGUAUUCUCAGUGAGCCACAAUAUCAUUUGACCCGGUACCUGCAGUUUUUUUUUUUUAAUACUGUACUGACCUAGCUCCUUGUGAGGAUUAGAAGUGGGGUGUGGGUAUCCUCAUGUUGCUCCAACUUUAACGAGGUCCUCAGAUGCCGCUCAGAGCACAGCUUUCUCUGUUCCUACUUCCUAAGGAAUCCCCAGGCCGGCUGGGGUGAGUUAUCAAAUGCUACUUGGGUGUGUCCUAAACCUCUGCCUUUUCUACCUGAGUGAAUUAUAGCAACGACCUCAGUGGAUUCCGAACAUCAGGUGCCCAUGUAGUAAUUUCUGUCGUCAUCCUCCUCCCUCAGGGUCCUGGCUUCUCCAGGCUGACCCUACUUUCCCAAGCUCGUAUCUCCUUCUUACAAAUGUCUCAGCUUCGGCAGGUAGAGGGUGGUCCCUGCUCUGCCCGUGGUGCCUGGUUGCCUUUCUGGUGUCUAGAUGUAUACUUUCUACGAUGUGCACAUAUCCACUCACACGAGUUCAUGGGUUUGAAAGUUUACCCACGUGGCAAAGUGGCAGCGAUAGUGGCAGCUUCCUUUUUUUUUUUUUUUUCAAGCAACAUCCAACUUUCUUAGUGUGGUGGUUGAUGGCAAUCCAGCUAGCUUUAGCUGACUGGGUCAAGAAGGCAUGGCGUCUCAUCUCUUCCCAGGGAUGGGACUCUCAGCCUGUCUCUUCUGCCUGACGGGCAGCAAUGUCUGAUGCCCCGCUGCGUGUUUGCCACCUGGAGUCUGCGAAUGCAGGCCCUCAGGACAACACCCUCUGGCUGGGAGGGCAACCUUGGACCCUUGGGGUUCGUAUGGACAGAGCUCCGAACAGUUCUUGGUAGGUGACAGGUGUUUGGUGAACCCAACCCGCGAGCGUGCUGAACGAUCAUGAUUAAGAAGCGAGCGGGCUGUCUCGAUGGUAAUGUCAAUUUACCCUCCAGCCAGAACUUCUCAGAGCUUCCGGUUCCACGGAUUCACAGCAGCACUUGGUGAGAUCAGAUUUCCUAAUUCUUUAUACUCUAAUGGGUGAAAGAUGGCAUCUUGUUGUUUUAAUUUGUGCUUCUCUGUGUUAGGCCUGAAGCUGAACACGAGUUCACAUAUUUAUGGCGAGGCGUCCUCUCCCCAUAUUUAUUGUUUCUUAUCAUUUCUUCAUUCUUCCAUCGCCCGCUUGCUGUUCCCUUAUUGAUUUCGAGGAAUUAUUUAUGUAUCUGGGUAGUGAUACUUUAUUGGUUAUACGGGUUAUAAAUAUAUCCUCCCCGACCAAGGCUUGUAUUUUUCUCUUUGUUGAUGGUGUCUUCUGCUGAACAGAACUUUAAAUUUUCAUGCGUCUGCUGCAUCAGACGCUCCCUUCCAUUUUGUGGUGUCCACGUAAACCCGUCCGUUAGCUUCUCAGUUCCCUGUCCUCAUGUUCAGACUUUGACCCACUUGAGACUGGUUUUAGUUUAUGGUGCAAACUGGGUUUUUGUGUCCUGUAAUAGCAGUACUGUGGAUCUAAUGAAUUCACCCUUUCUUCACAGGGAACCCACGUAUCUCACGCCACCGCCAUGUGUGCUGACAGCCUUGUUCUGGCUCUCCCUCCUGCUGCAUGUCUCCAUCCCUGAACCGUAACUUGUUCCCUUUAGAGACCUGAGCUUUACAACUGUGCCGUGCCAAGUGCUGCUCAGAGCUCUGUUGACAUGGACCUCAAGAGACCACAACACCUCCUUCCAAGCUUCUGUCCCACCUACAGGGUCUUGACAUCCAGAAGGGAAGAUCUCAUUUGUCUUCAGGCAUAUCUUGACUAUUUUCGGACCACGGCUAUUCAAUAAUCUAAGAGAGAAAGAGAGAGUCAACUACACUGACUAAGCCAGUUAAGUGUAUAUAUGAGCCCUUUAAUUUUGACUGGCAACCAAGAGUGGGCUAAUGUCUCAGAGUCUUUUCAUGCUGAAUAUCAGGGGCACAGAAUUUUUAAAAGACAAAACCCAUGAGGAUCAGGGUGACUUUAAAGCAUUCAUUCUUGACAGAGCAUAAGCGAUUGUUUCAGACAAAAAUAAUGGCAACUAUUUUUGAUGUAUACCUUCUUCAUUUAUCCUAGUUGAUAUUGUUUGUAUAAAUGUUAUUUUAGUUACUAUAUCUGACCACGGUCAAGGUCAUGGAAAUCUCAAGUGUUGCCAAGGCAGAGGGGAGAAGAGGGCUGAGAACUAAGCAAACACAAAUGGAGUCAGAACAAGAUGGCCUUACCUUGGUCACUUCACUAUGAUCUAUUAAUUUUAUGAACUAGCUUGGACUAGAUUGAAAACUCAUUUAAUCUUUGUAUUAACUUAAAGAGAAUUUUCAUUAGCAGUGACUCUUUCCAUCCGUGGAGAUGGUUUAUCUGUUCCUAUAUUAAAGUCUUCCUUCAAGCCUUC